GACAGAGGUGCCGAGCGUUAGGCGGAAUCACUGGGCUUAAAGCGUGUGUAGGCGGACCGUUAAGUACCUUGUGAAAUCCUGCGGCUCAACCGCAGAACGGCUGGGUAUACUGGCGGUCUUGGGCCACCUAGGGGCAGAUGGAACAGACGGUGGAGCGGUGAAAUGCGUAGAUAUCGUCUGGAACGCCGAUGGGUGAAAACAGUCUGCUGGGGGUGUGCCGACGCUGAGACACGAAAGCCAGGGGAGCAAACGGG
Molecule: ribosomal RNA, 254 nt
Filed under: uncultured bacterium
Lineage: Bacteria
Description: partial 16S ribosomal RNA
Rfam family: Bacterial small subunit ribosomal RNA
Source: RNAcentral